UGGGGAAUAUUGCACAAUGGGCGCAAGCCUGAUGCAGCCAUGCCGCGUGUAUGAAGAAGGCCUUCGGGUUGUAAAGUACUUUCAGUCGGGAGGAAGGUGUCAAGGUUAAUAACCUUGGCAAUUGACGUUACCGACAGAAGAAGCACCGGCUAACUCCGUGCCAGCAGCCGCGGUAAUACGGAGGGUGCAAGCGUUAAUCGGAAUUACUGGGCGUAAAGCGCACGCAGGCGGUUGAUUGAGUCAGAUGUGAAAUCCCCGGGCUUAACCCGGGAAUUGCAUCUGAUACUGGUUAGCUAGAGUCUUGUAGAGGGGGGUAGAAUUCCAUGUGUAGCGGUGAAAUGCGUAGAGAUGUGGAGGAAUACCGGUGGCGAAGGCGGCCCCCUGGACAAAGACUGACGCUCAGGUGCGAAAGCGUGGGGAGCAAACAGG
Molecule: ribosomal RNA, 429 nt
Filed under: Chloroflexota bacterium
Lineage: Bacteria; Bacillati; Chloroflexota
Description: Chloroflexi bacterium partial 16S ribosomal RNA
Rfam family: Bacterial small subunit ribosomal RNA
Source: RNAcentral